AUUGAACGCUGGCGGAAUGCUUUACACAUGCAAGUCGAACGGCAGCACGGGAGCUUGCUCCUGGUGGCGAGUGGCGAACGGGUGAGUAACAUAUCGGAACGUACCCAGUCGUGGGGGAUAACUAUCCGAAAGGAUAGCUAAUACCGCAUACGUCCUGAGGGAGAAAGCGGGGGAUCGCAAGACCUCGCGCGAUUGGAGCGGCCGAUAUCGGAUUAGCUAGUUGGUGGGGUAAAGGCUCACCAAGGCGACGAUCCGUAGCGGGUCUGAGAGGACGACCCGCCACACUGGAACUGAGACACGGUCCAGACUCCUACGGGAGGCAGCAGUGGGGAAUUUUGGACAAUGGGGGCAACCCUGAUCCAGCCAUUCCGCGUGAGUGAAGAAGGCCUUCGGGUUGUAAAGCUCUUUCAGCAGGAACGAAACGGUCGGCUUCAAUAAAGUCGGCUAAUGACGGUACCUGCAGAAGAAGCACCGGCUAACUACGUG
RNAcentral lists this ribosomal RNA (486 nucleotides) under uncultured bacterium. RNAcentral's name for it is "partial 16S ribosomal RNA". It matches the Rfam family "Bacterial small subunit ribosomal RNA", at positions 30 to 507 of the family's 1533-position model. The record is from RNAcentral.